AGUGAUAAAUUCAACGGCCGCGGUAUUCUAACCGUGCGAAGGUAGCGUAAUCACUUGUCCUUUAAAUGAGGACUAGUAUGAACGGCUUCACGAAGGCUGCACUGUCUCCUUUUUCUAAUCAGUAAAACUAAUCUCCCCGUGAAGAAGCGGGAAUCCACCUAUAAGACGAGAAGACCCUAUGGAGCUUUAAACAAUUGUUUACACUUGCACUCAUUUUUAUUUUAUAUUUAACCAAGCAUUAUGUUUCUAGUUUUAGGUUGGGGUGACCAUGGAGAAAAACUUAUCCUCCAUAUUGAAAGAAAUUCUAUUUCUUAGCAAAAAGUUACAUCUUGAUGCACCAAUAAAUUGACCUUAAUUGACCCAAUAAUUUGAUCAACGAACCAAGUUACCCUAGGGAUAACAGCGCAAUCCACUUCAAGAGUUCUUAUCGACAAGUGGGUUUACGACCUCGAUGUUGGAUCAGGGUAUCCUAGCGGUGCAGCCGCUGCUAAUGGUUCGUUUGUUCAACGAUUAAAACCCUACGUG
RNAcentral lists this ribosomal RNA (525 nucleotides) under Mannophryne venezuelensis. Its description in RNAcentral is "partial large subunit ribosomal RNA". It matches the Rfam family "Bacterial large subunit ribosomal RNA", at positions 1908 to 2602 of the family's 2925-position model. Lineage: Eukaryota; Metazoa; Chordata; Amphibia; Anura; Aromobatidae. The record is from RNAcentral.